AUACGGAGGGUGCAAGCGUUACUCGGAAUCACUGGGCGUAAAGCGCGCGCAGGCGGUCUUUUAAGUUGGAUGUGAAAGCCUACGGCUCAACCGUAGAACUGCAUCCAAAACUAUUAGACUUGAGUGUGGGAGAGGAAGAUGGAAUUAGUUGUGUAGGGGUAAAAUCCGUAGAGAUAACUAGGAAUACCAAAAGCGAAGGCAAUCUUCUGGAACACUACUGACGCUGAGGCGCGAAAGCGUGGGGAGCAAACAGGAUUAGAAACCCCAGUAGUCC
This 274-nucleotide ribosomal RNA is filed under the name uncultured bacterium. RNAcentral's name for it is "partial 16S ribosomal RNA". It matches the Rfam family "Bacterial small subunit ribosomal RNA", at positions 523 to 796 of the family's 1533-position model. The record is from RNAcentral.